This 903-nucleotide ribosomal RNA is filed under the name uncultured bacterium. RNAcentral's name for it is "bacterial SSU rRNA". It matches the Rfam family "Bacterial small subunit ribosomal RNA", at positions 8 to 916 of the family's 1533-position model. The record is from RNAcentral.
AGAGUUUGAUCAUGGCUCAGAACGAACGCUGGCGGCGUGGAUUAGGCAUGCAAGUCGAACGAUCCCGCAAGGGAUAGUGGCGAAAGGGUGCGUAACACGUGGGCAAUCUGCCCCCGAAACGGGAAUAACUUCGGGAAACCGAAGCUAAUACCUGAUGACACCGAGCUGCCGCAUGGUGGCACGGUGAAAGGCGUCCGCAAGGGUGCCGAUCGGGGAUGAGCCCGCGGCCUAUCAGCUAGUUGGUGAGGUAACGGCCCACCAAGGCGAUGACGGGUAGCCGGCCUGAGAGGGUGGUCGGCCACAUUGGGACUGAGACACUGCCCAGACUCCUACGGGAGGCUGCGGUCGAGGAUCUUCCGCAAUGGGGGAAACCCUGACGGAGCGACGCCGCGUGGAGGAUGAAGGCCUUCGGGUCGUAAACUCCUGUCAGUCUGGAAGAAAAUCUGCAGCAAUGUGGAUUGACCGUACAGGCAGAGGAAGCUCCGGCUAACUCCGUGCCAGCAGCCGCGGUAAUACGGAGGGAGCGAGCGUUGUUCGGAAUCAUUGGGCGUAAAGGGCAUGUAGGCGGCUCUGUAAGUCGGGUGUGAAAUCCCAUCUCUCAAGGGUGGAACGGCAUUCGAAACUGCAGGGCUUGAGUUCGGGGGAAGAGAGCGGAAUUCUCGGUGUAGCGGUGAUAUGCGUAGAUAUCGAGAAGAACACCAGCGGCGUAAGCGGCUCUCUAUCCUGAAACUGACGCUGAGGUGCGAAAGCCAGGGGAGCGAACGGGAUUAGAUACCCCGGUAGUCCUGGCCAUAAACGAUGUGCACUUGGUGUUGGGCCGCGAGGCUCAGUGCCGAAGCUAACGCAUUAAGUGCACCGCCUGGGGAGUACGACCGCAAGGUUGAAACUCAAAUGAAUUGACGG